RNAcentral lists this ribosomal RNA (507 nucleotides) under uncultured bacterium. Its description in RNAcentral is "partial 16S ribosomal RNA". The record is from RNAcentral.
GGAGUUAGCCGGUGCUUCUUCUGUGAGUGAUGUCCUUCCUGCCGGCUAUUAACCCGCAGGCCUUCUUCCUCACUGAAAGUGCUUUACAACCCGAAGGCCUUCUUCACACACGCGGCAUGGCUGGAUCAGGGUUGCCCCCAUUGUCCAAUAUUCCCCACUGCUGCCUCCCGUAGGAGUCUGGGCCGUGUCUCAGUCCCAGUGUGGCUGAUCAUCCUCUCAGACCAGCUACGGAUCGUCGCCUUGGUGAGCCGUUACCUCACCAACCAGCUAAUCCGACAUAGGCUCAUCCGAUAGCGCGAGGCCCGAAGGUCCCCCGCUUUCCCCCGUAGGGCGUAUGCGGUAUUAGCCUGGGUUUCCCCAGGUUAUCCCCCACUACCGGGCAGAUUCCUAUGCAUUACUCACCCGUCCGCCGCUCGCCACCAGGGAGCAAGCUCCCCGUGCUGCCGCUCGACUUGCAUGUGUUAGGCCUGCCGCCAGCGUUCAAUCUGAGCCAGGAUCAAACUCUUA